CCUACGGGCGGCAGCAGUGGGGAAUAUUGGGCAAUGGAGGAAAGUCUGACCCAGCAACGCCGCGUGAAUGAUGAAGGCCUUCGGGUUGUAAAGUUCUUUUCUAAGGGAAGAAGAAAGUGACGGUACCUUAGGAAUAAGCCUCGGCUAACUACGUGCCAGCAGCCGCGGUAAUACGUAGGAGGCGAGCGUUAUCCGGAUUGAAUGGGCGUAAAGGGUGCGUAGGUGGUUUGGCAAGUUAGUAGGGUAACUCCAAGGCUCAACCUUGGAACUACUACUGAAACUGUUGGACUUGAGUGCAGGAGGGGCAGCCGGAAUUCCGGGUGUAGCGGUGGAAUGCGUAGAUAUUAGGAGGAACACCAGUGGCGAAGGCGGGUUGCUGGACUGUAACUGACACUGAGGCACGAAAGCGUGGGGAGCAAACAGGAUUAGAUACCCUGGUAGUC
This 443-nucleotide ribosomal RNA is filed under the name uncultured bacterium. RNAcentral's name for it is "partial 16S ribosomal RNA". It matches the Rfam family "Bacterial small subunit ribosomal RNA", at positions 338 to 795 of the family's 1533-position model. The record is from RNAcentral.